This is a long non-coding RNA of Anser brachyrhynchus (Pink-footed goose), 1854 nucleotides long. Lineage: Eukaryota; Metazoa; Chordata; Aves; Anseriformes; Anatidae. The record is from Ensembl.
CCCCCUACAAGUGAGCAUCUGGAAAGUUAAAACAGGCUCCUCUGGUAGAGGAGAGCAGCUUGAUUAGUUUUAUGGCAGCAAAAGUGGGUUAAUCGUGAAAACUGCUUCUUAUGCUGUCAUGGUUCAGAUAAACGGGUUUAGCACAGCAAGCAGCCAAAGGGCACGCAUUAGCGGUUCGUUCUGCAGCAAAGGGAGAGAGCAUGCUCAGAGGACACCCCUCGGAGGCAUCAGCCUGCUGCCUCUGAAGCUGGUGGCAGACUUCCCACUGACUUCAGUGGAGCUGAGAUUGUGCUGUAAAUAAAUAUAUCUGCUUCCAAAGGGUACAAGAGACAGAUCAAACAGGAAUGAGCUUUUCUUGUAUCUAGUAAGAUCUUUUCCUCUAUUUCCUCCAUGGAUUUCAACAGUAUUAAAGUUUCAUUAAAAAGAAAAUGAUUUGAAAAUUGCAUUUACCUAGAGCCUGUGACCGUAUUGCCACAUUCAAAGCACACAUAUUCUCAGCACCUAUUGGAGCUAAAGCUAGCUGUACUGCAGUUUUGGCAUGUAUAGCACUCGAGUUCUGCAAUACCUGCUCUGGCUCCACCUGUGUGUGCUAGCACCAAACCCAAAGCACCAACAACGGGUGGCUGCCUGGUGGCUGUCUCAGUUCCUACAGGAAAACUCUGUGCAUUGGAUGCAUAAGGAUAGUUUUGUAAGUCUGAAUGCAGGACUUAGACUAUGUUGCACAGUCAGCUGUAGCCUGAUUUGUUUACGCAGCUUUGUUGCAGCAGUAAAAAGGCAUAACAGGUAAAGGGGAGAAAUGAGGAUCACCUACCAGGCAGCAGGAAAAAGUGCAAGAAGACCAGAAUGCCUACACAGGAGUUCACUCUGCCAAGCACAGAUUUGCCAAACAGAGAGGAACAGAAGAGGAUCUAACGAGGACCUAGCUCAACCCUUCUCACUGUGCCCUGUUAGUUCAGUGGCACUAAGCCAUGAGACGCAGCUGAUGUCUGGCUUUGUCCCCUGCACAAGCACAACCGACCUUGCCCAGGAGCUAAUCCUGCCCAGUGCCCCCAUGCCCAGGAGCUAAUCCUGCCCAGUGCCCCCAGGCAGGCAAGCCCUUCGCAGCAGGGCAAGACCAAAAAGUCAGUGGGAGAAGGAGGCAGCUUGUAAAAGUUACACUUCAGACUUGUUGGGAUCUGCCUUCACUUUUACUGCAAAUGAAAUAGUUACACUUUUGUACUUUGGCAAUAGCUGAUCUAUCAGACUAUCAAAAAAACUUGAAAUUAUGGUAUCAGAAAAGCAAAGCUAGAGAGAAAUUUUAAAUUUCCUCCAUUAUCAGUAUUUCUUGGGAUCUGGCUAAUUUUAAUUCCUUCCCCUUCCCCACCCACACAAUGUCUUAUUUCAGUCCGUUGGAUAUUGAGCAGUGUGGUACUCCCACGAAGAAAGGGGAGGUACCAGGCUCUUACAUUUGCUGCAAAGCUGUCAGUAGUGGCUCUGUGUUUUACUUGCCUGUCAUAUUAUCUGCAGCUCAUGCUUUGGAUUUCUUUUUCCCUCUUUGUUCCUAAAUGCUGCAAGUAUAAACCAGUUUUCUGUAACCUUACAGUCACUCCCUCAUUUACAAAGCAGGCACCAACACAUCUCUCAGAUCUGUCUGCAGCAUCCAAGGAAAAAUCAAUUCCAGACAUAUUGUAUCAAUUUCAACACUUUGUAGGAACUGGCCGAGUUCAAAUCUCUUCGCUCUGUAUGUCUUGAAUCAAAUUUGCCUUUCUUUUGUGUAGAUACAAAUGCAGAAUAAUCAUCCUUACUUUGAGGGAGUUUAAUUCAAGUGUGCAUCUGUCUAAAGAAAUUAAAUAAAUAUGUUGCUCCACAUUUGCA